ACAGCAGCAGCCGCGGUAAUACGAAGGGGGCUAGCGUUGUUCGGAAUUACUGGGCGUAAAGCGCACGUAGGCGGACAUUUAAGUCAGGGGUGAAAUCCCGGGGCUCAACCCCGGAACUGCCUUUGAUACUGGGUGUCUAGAGUAUGGAAGAGGUGAGUGGAAUUCCGAGUGUAGAGGUGAAAUUCGUAGAUAUUCGGAGGAACACCAGUGGCGAAGGCGGCUCACUGGUCCAUUACUGACGCUGAGGUGCGAAAGCGUGGGGAGCACAGGAUUAGAUACCCCCGUAGUCCCUGUCUCUUAUACAC
Molecule: ribosomal RNA, 305 nt
Filed under: uncultured bacterium
Lineage: Bacteria
Description: partial 16S ribosomal RNA
Rfam family: Bacterial small subunit ribosomal RNA
Source: RNAcentral